Ictalurus punctatus (channel catfish) is the source of this 1392-nucleotide long non-coding RNA. NCBI's taxonomy places the organism in Eukaryota, Metazoa, Chordata, Actinopteri, Siluriformes, Ictaluridae. The record is from Ensembl.
CAGCACCACCACCAGAGGCACACAGCUCGUUCACAGGAAUGUUGCAGAACUGCCAGCCAAUGGAUGAUAUAGCAUCCAUGCUGAGGGAGGUGUUGACAAAUGUGAGAUGGUGCUGGACCAACAAACCACUGAGACUGCUUCAACUACAGGAGGUCCAGGUACAGCCUUUGGAUAUUGAGGAAGGUUCACUGCCCCUGAAAGACCUUCCUCAACUGCGAAGUCUGGAGCAAAGGAUGCAACAGAGCCCAGAUUACAAGCAAAAACUGGGCGGAUGUGCACAACUGCACCUGGCAUAUAUUGAAGAGGGUGAUUGCCAACUCCCUGGCAAAGAACCUCAAUUGGAAGGGAGUCAAUGGAAAGACUUCACUGGCAACUCUCCAACUCUGAGAGGUCAUGGUUGCUGCAGUUCAAACAAACCUCUUCACGGCUAAUGCUGCUGAGAUGGAGGUCGAAGGGACCAUGAAGAGGCUGCUCCAGCUGGCAUUGGAUUGAGAGUGUGGGUGCAAGAAAAGACUUUUGCAAAAGGAUCCAGUCUGUGGAUUUUCUCCUCAUGGAGGUGGAAAAAGACUUCUACGGAACCAGCACAAUGAGAUAUGUCAUAUCCAAGUAAGACCUCGACUCAGCACAGCCUUUGCUGAAAGGGUUUUUUUUUUUUUUGCUUUGCUGCAGCAACCACCGUCAUCAUCAUGAAAAUUAGCCACACUAGAACAAAGUUGCUGAAAGGUUCUACAUUGCUGGGCUCUGCUUUAUUCUAUGCUGAUAACUCUUCAGGUCUUUUUUGUUGUUGAGUAUCAAAGACUUGCAGAAACCACCCCAGGAUUUACUCUUUGCCUGCCGAUUUGAGAUGUUUGCUACUGCUGAGCCAUGUGCACUUCGGUUAAAACAGAGCAAGCAGUGAGUCAUCUGGAGACAGCGUCUAGAUCGUGACUGCACUGACAAAAGGACUCGUCUGUGGAAGUUGCCGUCGAUUUGCAGGCAUGCUGGUUGCCGGGGAAACGGAUUUGAAGUUGCACAUAACCGGUGGUGGCUUCUCUGCACUGCAGCAAGAAUCACAUAUCACAGGGCCUGCUGCAGGGAGGCAUGAGGACUGCGGAGGUGGCCAGAGCAAUAAACUACAAUGUCCGUAAUGUAAGACACCUAAGACACUGGUACAGAGAGACAAGGAGGACAGCUGAUCGCCCUUGCAGUGGAAAAUUACAUGUAACCUUGUGUCCCCCCCAGACAUAAUCGAGAACUUGCAAAUGCCUUGGUGGAAGAGUGGGGUAAAAUCUUACAGCAAGAACUGGUAAAUCUGGUGCUGUUCAUGAAGAUGAGAUGCACUGUAGUACUUAAAGCAGCUGGUGGACACCAGAUACUGACAGUUACUUUUGUUAUUCACCUCCCCCAUUUGUU